RNAcentral lists this ribosomal RNA (465 nucleotides) under uncultured bacterium. RNAcentral describes it as "partial 16S ribosomal RNA". It matches the Rfam family "Bacterial small subunit ribosomal RNA", at positions 28 to 507 of the family's 1533-position model. The record is from RNAcentral.
GAUGAACGCUGGCGGCGUGCUUAACACAUGCAAGUCGAACGGAAAGGCGCGUGCUUGCAGGGGUACUCGAGUGCGGAAGGGGGGAGUAACACGUGGGGGAUCUGCCCUGCACUUCGGGAGAAAACUGCGGAACUGGGUCGAAAAUCGGGUAUGACGAUUGGUUGGAUGCGAUUGUGGAAAGAUUGUCGGUGUUGGAUAGUCUCGCAGCCUAUCCGCUUGUUGGUGGGGUAAUGGCCUACGAAGGCGUCGACGGGUAGCCCGCCUGAGAGCGUGUACGGCCUCCUUGGGCCUGCGAUACGGACCAGACGCCUACGGGCCGCAGUAGUGGGGAAUAUUGCGCAAUGGGGGCACGCGUGAGGCAGCGAUGCUGCGUUCGGAAUGAUGGCCUUUGAGUUGUAAACAAAUUUCUAAGUGGCCGAAGCCGACGUGACGGUACCUGGACAAGAAGCCACGGCUAACUACGUG